CUCUGGCGCUACGGCGCCAUGAUGCUAACCCGUGAACACAUUCUUGUGCAUAUUGAGGAACCGCAUCGGAAGGUGCGUGUUAGCUUGUCGUGCUCCUAGUAAUACCCCUAAGUCGUGGGGUUGAGCACGCGAGCUUGCUUCGGCGGACGAUUUUCGUCGUGAUGGUUCUAUUCCAUGGUUCGUUUGGACCUGGAAUAUGGCAUUGCGAUAGACCGCCAGAGCACCUCCCCUUGGGUCCCCCGGAUGCUUUCGACAAUCUCGAACGCAUCGUCUGGGUGUGGCUGGAGGGCAACCUCGAAAACCCAAACAAAAUCAUGCAACCCCUUGUAUUUACCCGAUCGUCCUGAUCGUAUUGAAAACCGUGGCUAUCACAGCCUCCGUUUCGAAAUCAAACUGAAAAACUCUCAACAACGGAUAUCUUGGCUCUUGCAACGAUGAAGAACGCAGCGAAAUGCGAUACGUAGUGUGAAUUGCAGAAUUCCGUGAAUCAUCGAAUGUUUGAACGCAAAUUGCGCCCGAGGCUUCGGCCGAGGGCAUGUCUGCUUGAGCGCCGCUGGACACCCCUCGUCCCAACUUCUCGUCGUCACUAUGUGGGUGAUGAGAUGAGGACGGAUUGAUGGUCGCCUCGAAUACAUGAGACGGAACGGCGGCGUAAGCCCUAUUCUCCUCAUCGAGCCGGCUGGAAAAAAAAAGCUCGGCCCGAUGCGUACCGUAACGGCACACUCGGCGUGGACGAAGCAAUCCCCUUAACCCCUGUAACAAGGGCGUUGCGGGAAUAGCGGAUGUUGCCCGAAUGUCGUAUGCGUGCGCAUYUGUGCGUCGAGACUUAAGCUGUGCCAACGAUCGUGCCAUGUGCACGCUCGUGGAACCCCAAACCCUUGGCCUCAAGUCAGGCAGGAGCACCCGCUGAAUUUAAGCAUA
RNAcentral lists this unclassified non-coding RNA (921 nucleotides) under Xanthidium antilopaeum var. antilopaeum. RNAcentral describes it as "sequence contains ITS1, 5.8S rRNA gene and ITS2". The stretch from base 400 to 553 matches the Rfam family "5.8S ribosomal RNA". Lineage: Eukaryota; Viridiplantae; Streptophyta; Zygnematophyceae; Desmidiales; Desmidiaceae. The record is from RNAcentral.